Non-coding RNA from Dermacentor albipictus, 461 nucleotides. NCBI's taxonomy places the organism in Eukaryota, Metazoa, Arthropoda, Arachnida, Ixodida, Ixodidae. The record is from RefSeq and is a predicted model, not a curated record.
AUUUGUAGUAACUUGGUAAGAAUAAGCUUUACUGAAGAUGCUGUUUGAUAUGAUUAUCUUCGGCACUGUGUUUAAUUCUUUUUUUAUUGGGGGGCUAUCUAUGGGUGUUCAAUUAUGGCCAAACUGUACAGUGAAAUACGUAUUCGAUCACCCGAUGUAUUUCGAAGAAAGAUUUCAAGACAACUUUUUCCUUAUAAAGGAUUUCUUUGAAACAAACACAUGUAUACGGUUUGUUGCACAUCGUUCAGAUGACAUAGUUGAACCAGUUUACUUCGAUGAAAGAAAAAGAAAUCCAAGUAAUAUGAGUUAUGGCUACAGCCAUCAUAAUGGAGCAAACCUUUGCAAUGGGGACUGCUCGCCUGUGAAUAUAUUUAUAUCUCUCCUUCAUGUCCUCGGAUUCAAGGAAGAACAGACAAGGAACGACAGAGAUUUGUACCUUAAAAUAAAUUAUCACAGCAUAC